This is a long non-coding RNA of Cyprinus carpio carpio, 3123 nucleotides long. The record is from Ensembl. NCBI's taxonomy places the organism in Eukaryota, Metazoa, Chordata, Actinopteri, Cypriniformes, Cyprinidae.
AUGGAUAUCUUAGAUGGCAUUGGGGUUGGGACCAACAUGGUUGAAUAUUUAAACCAUGAGAUGACUGGAGCAUUGCUGCACAUUCUAUGCCUCAGUGAUGAGACAAGGGGGACAUCACAGACCUUUGCCAUUAUUCCAGGCCACGCCAUUGAGACUGUGUCUUUGUUGGAGGCGGUUGAUCUUUGCUUUAAAGCUUUUUUUGUUUUUGAUGUUCAGUACACCAAGCAGUGUCUCCCCACCUGGGAGUUUCUCCAGCAUGCUGUAUAUCAAAUUGAAGGAAAAGAGUCCUCCUCUGUAAAGUUUUUGAGGACAACAGUGGUUUCAGGCCCACAUGAUAUGUAGAUGAUUUUAAAAUGUAUUUUGUUGCUGUUCUUAAAUCAACACAUCUUAAUAAAUUAAAUUGUAAUCGUAUGAGAGUUCAAAUUAGUUGUUUAAUGACUUUUAAAGCCUGAAUAUUUGGACAGAUUUACAUUUGUUAUAAAGUCUGUGGGGAAGGGUGAAUGUCAGAGGGUGUGUGGGUGGGGGUUGGGAUGGGGGGGUAAAGAAUGUAUUCAAUAUUGUAUACAAACAAAGUAUUAAAGAAAUGUAUUGUUUUUAAAGAAAUAAUAUGUUUUAAAUUAAAUAAGAUUGAAAUCACAUAUACAUGGCCUCUCUGGUUUAUUGUAUUAAAGAGACAAUAAUUAUUUUACAUUCGUAAUAUAAAAUAUAUUUGUAACUAAUGUAUAAAGGCAGUGAGACAGGAAAUAAUCUAUUUAUUAUUAAAUAAUAACUAUUUAUUUGACUAAACUAUUUGUUUGACUUAAUCCAGCAAGAGGGUUAAUUUUACCCACUGGUUGGGUCAAAUGAAUGACCCAGUAAUAUGGGUUAAACGGUAAAACCCAGCACUUGGGUCAAACCAACCCAGCGCGUGUUCUGUCCAAUAGUGACCCAGCAGCGUGGUUAAGGUUGGGUUAUUUUUUAACCCAGCAGUUUUUAGAGUGUACUGUUUACUUUGUCAUUAAAUAUGGAAAAUUCUUUAUUCACAAAUGGGCAGUGAAAAAAAAAUAAUUUUACUCAUUUUAAAAUAGAAAUAGGUCGCUACCUGUAUACAUUAAAAGAAACAAGAAAAAAACUAAGCAAAAGUAUUUGUUUUGAUUCAGUUUAAAUGUUAUUGCCCGUAUAGACCCCUUAAUCGCCUACGUCACUGUGACGUCACCGCUCUAGCUGGAGGCAAAACAUAAGGAAGAACUCAUAGCAGGCGCGCUAAAAGUUUGAGGUUUUGACUUUAAAAUGUCGUCUUGUUGUGUUUUUGGCUGCCAGAAUAGAAGGAACAGCACUUUUGGUUCAAAACUAAAGUUUCACCGGAUCCCGGCCGACAUUCCUUCACAGAAAUCAAGAAGACAAUUGUGGUUGAAUGCAAUACGGCGUACAGACUAGACAGAGACGAUCAUAAAUAAUGCUCGUGUUUGCAGUGCACACUUCAUAUUAGGUAAAAUAAUCUAUGCAUAUGUACUGGUGUGUUGGUUUUAUCUAGUACAAAUCAGCAAGUUUAUGUUUUAUAGGUGAAAAGUCGCCAACCUUCAGCGCACUAGCUAGCUUAAAUGUUAAACAAACAUACAGCGAUAGAUGUGUGUGCCAUCCUUUGAAUGGUCUCUUAAAAUAAUCCACAUUGCUAAUCAUAGUUAGCCCAGCGAUAGGUUACAUUAGACAAUAAGCCUUGACAAAAUUCCCCAAACCACCCGAAAGUAAUUCAUAUGUUGUCUAGGAAAUAUCCAAAACCUGGUUAAAAUGUUUCCAAUGAGAACAAGAUACAAGAACUACACCAGGCUUAGCUAAAAAUAAAUAAAUAAAUAAAUUAGGCUACUGUAAUGUUAUCCACUUGUCAUUAUAUUUUGGUCAGAUAACCAGUUUGGUCAGUGAACUGAGUGAUCAACUGAAUUAAUUGAUAAAUGUAUGCUAACUCCCACUUUUUUUAUUAUAAUUUUUUUUGUCACGGUCCCGCAGAGUCAGUGACUGUACAUAUUCGGACAGUUCCGAACAGAGUCGGCGUCAGAGCAGAUCGACUGGAGGGGCAUUGGAUCAUCGGCGGGGGGGCACUGUCGUUGAUAAAUAUUUUUUGACGCAUUGGCAACAUCAUAGUAGCAUGGAAAUCCAGACCUAAAUCUGAAAGAUCUAUAUAGAAUGACAAUGAACGAUUUAGACUUGGGUUUUUAUCUAAAAGAGGAACAGAAGACAGCGCUGAAAUUUGCUGUUUUGCCGACCGGAUACGGCAAGAGUCAGUUAGCUCCAAUGAUCUAUCUAUAUAGAAUGUCAUUAUAUAAUUUUUUUUUUUUUUUUAUACCUGUCUUGAUUCCUAAUACUGAACUAGGCUAUACUAACCUUAUAUGGAAUCAUAUUCUGAACGUUUAACCUAACAAUCGUCAUCUGUUGUGAUGACGAUUGUUAGGUUAAACGUUCAGAAUAUGAUUCCAUAUAAGGUUAGUAUAGCCUAGUUCAGCACUUUGCGAAUGGACAGCGACUCAAGUAGCACGUAUUCUCGCGUUCUACGAGUUCAGUAGCCUACAUUUUUGGGAAAAUGUAUAUUUUUGGGAAACGCGCGAGGAAUUGCGGUUAACGUUCAUAAACUUGCACGUAGAGAGCGCUUUUAAGAGCUAAGAUAGGCUAGGCUACAUCGUUAUCGGGAAACCCGGCCCAGAACAGAUAGCCUAAACAACAGAACAGGACAGAAAAUAAUAAUAUAAAUAUAAUAUAGGCUAAAUAAUAAUAAAUAAAAAAAAAACAUAAAAUAGCCCUACAAUAAAUAGCUAUAUAUUUUUUAUACUUAAAUAAUUAACAAAUUACUGACUGACAAAAAAAUAAAACACUGAAUCAGUUUGAAGCUUUGAAAAACCGGCAAAAAAAAAAUCAGACAAAGUUUUUUCGUAUAGAUGUUUCUGAAAACUUAAGGCUUUUUUCUUCAUAAAACGAGUUGGACAUCAUCACACAAAUGUCUGCGUAUGGACCAGUUAAAUCAGAAGACUAAAAUUCGCCUUCAGAGAAUAAGGAUGUCACAACAAUAAUGAGCCACUCACACAAGGUAUAAGGUUUAACUGAUUUUUUAGUUUUUGAUUUGCGUAGAAUGCAAAUUUUUGUAGAACUUGAGAA